Molecule: long non-coding RNA, 1069 nt
Filed under: Podarcis muralis (Common wall lizard)
Lineage: Eukaryota; Metazoa; Chordata; Lepidosauria; Squamata; Lacertidae
Description: lncRNA (ENSPMRG00000002891.1)
Source: RNAcentral
UCUCUCCCCCUCCGCACGCCUAAAAAUAAAGAGGGAGCCACGAGUCUCUUCUUGCUUGUUGAUUUGGCGGGCGCUUUCUGUUCGGCUCCAGGAGUCCUUCUCCGCCGCUGACUUCGAAACAGCUUAGCUGGGAAACUGAAGUCUUAAAACGCACCCGAUCGCGCCUGCUCCGUUCCUCUUCGCCCCCCAAAAAGCAAAAACAAAAACCCAAAAAGGGGGCGCAGAGGGGGGAAACAACAACACCGGGAAACUCACGCUCUGCUGUGCUUUAAAAAAAAUCCGAAUCUUCAACGUGGGGGAAAGAGAGAGGGAAAGAGAGCAAAGACAAGUCAAAUCGCCGGUCUUCCAACAGGUCCAGAAGCCCGGAGUCCUCGUCCUUUAGGGCUGCCAAGGUUUUCGUUCCAGCAUCCACACCACCCCGCUCAUCACCUCCUCGCUCCUGCUGCUGCCAUCUUGACAGUUUCCCCUCUUUCACUCAAGUCAUUUAAACAAGCCUUGGCGAAAAGGCAGAGCGGGAGGUCACGCAGGCGGAGGGAGAGAGGGAGGGAGGGAGGGAGGGAGGGAGCGAGGGAAUGUGGCCCACGGUGGCCUUGGCACGAGCGGGAGAGGGGGCUCCAGCCUGCCAGCCCCGGGAUUGCAAAGGGAGGCGCGUGUCCUCGCGGGCGAGACUUCACCCAGGGAAGGGCAAGGGCAAGAUCUUGAGUGCCUCAAGAACGUGAAGGGAGCUGGCAUUUGGGCUGGGGGGUCGGGGAGGGGAGGAUUUCGGACGAGGCUGUCCUUGGAGGAAGCCCAGCAGAAAGAGCGAGUGGAGCAACUGGAUCACACGCCUCCAUCUCUUCCUCUCUUUGCCUGCCCUGCAAAGGAUAAAAUAAGGUGCCUAGCAGGAUGUUCUGCAAGGGAGAAUUGUUGCGGGAAAGGCAGAUCUGAAUCUCGUUCUGUGUUGACACGAUCCCGAGCAAUAGGGCCAAGCGUGGAACUAUUUACACCCCGACUUUGUGUAAAGAGAGGAAGGCAAAGGGUGAGCAGGAACAGGCACACAGCACCAGCAUGCCUGUUGCUGUGGCCUUGA